Drosophila arizonae is the source of this 419-nucleotide long non-coding RNA. Lineage: Eukaryota; Metazoa; Arthropoda; Insecta; Diptera; Drosophilidae. The record is from RefSeq and is a predicted model, not a curated record.
CCGGAGUGUAUGUUCUGACCUGGAAUUGAGGAGUUUGGAGUUUAGGAAGACAGGUAUAAACCGAAACAGCGAAACCAGCUUUUUACUUGUUAUACUUGGGCGUUGAAAGUUGAUACGCGAUCGAACUUGAUCGCAAUGCGUGAGAAAAACCUUACAAUUAGCUCAAAAUGCUGCUUGUUCGGUCCCAUGUAGCCGUGAGAGUAUAUCUAAACUAAACUGCGACCAAAUGUGUGUGUGUGUCGCGGCCUACACAGGGGUACUAAACAUCGUUUUUAUCAGAUUGUGAUUGCGUGGAUUGAAUAUAUAUAGGAAGCCGUAUCGACUUCUCUGCUCUGCUAAGACUUGUUCGAAAGAAAGGCGCCCAAAUACAUACGUUAUAUAAACGGUCGUCUAUUAUUCACCUACCAUCGACCGUUAUC